RNAcentral lists this ribosomal RNA (484 nucleotides) under uncultured bacterium. RNAcentral describes it as "partial 16S ribosomal RNA". It matches the Rfam family "Bacterial small subunit ribosomal RNA", at positions 29 to 523 of the family's 1533-position model. The record is from RNAcentral.
AGUGAACGCUGGCGGCGUGCUUAACACAUGCAAGUCGAACGAGAACGGGUUAUAGCUUGCCAUAAUUGUCAGCUAAGUGGCGCACGGGUGAGUAAUGUAUAGGUAAUAUGCCUCUUACUAAGGGAUAACAAAUGGAAACGUUUGCUAAUACCUUAUACUCCUUUUAAACAGAAGUUUAAAAGGGAAAGAUUUAUUGGUAAGAGAUUAGCCUGUAUUGUAUCAGUUAGUUGGUGGGGUAAUGGCUUACCAAGACUAUGACACAUAACUGGUUUGAGAGGAUGAUCGGUCACACUGGAACUGAGACACGGUCCAGACUCCUACGGGAGGCAGCAGUGGGGAAUAUUGCACAAUGGACGAAAGUCUGAUGCAGCAACGCCGCGUGGAGGAUGACACAUUUCGGUGCGUAAACUCCUUUUAUAUGAGAAGAUAAUGACGGUAUUAUAUGAAUAAGCACCGGCUAACUCCGUGCCAGCCGCCGCGGUAA